AAAAUGUAUUUCCUUAUUUUCUUUCUUUUAAAGGCCCUUCCUUCUACCAUGAUUAUAGUAGCAGUUUAUUGUCCUGUGAUAGCUGCUGUUUUCAUUGUUCUGAAGAUGGUCAACUAUCGACUACACAGAGCACUUGAUGCUGGAGAAGUUGUAGAUAGGACUGCAAAUGAGUUCACGGAUCAGCGAACCAAAGCUGAACAAGGCAACUGUUCAACCAGGAGAAAAGACAGCAAUGGACCGAGUGAUCCUGGUGGAGGGAUUGAAAUGUCUGAGUUCAUCCGAGAGGCCACACCCCCAGUUGGUUGCAGUUCCAGAAAUUCUUAUGCCGGUCUAGAUCCAAGCAACCAGAUUGGAUCUGGUUCCUCGCGUCUUGGAACAGCAGCAACUAUUAAAGGAGAUACAGACACUGCUAAGACUUCUGAUGAUAUCAGUUUAAGUCUGGGCCAAAGUUCUAGUCUUUGUAAGGAAGGAAGUGAAGAACAAGGUAAGAACAUUAUACUUUACCAUGAUGUCAUAUACUGUGGUGACCAGUUAAUUUGUAGAAUAUGCUGCAUACAAUUUGGCAGAAGUUUAUAACAAUUUAAUAUGAUAUUUAAGGAAACAUUAACAUAAAAUGUUAUGGGGAUAGUAGUAAUACAGAGUU
RNAcentral lists this small RNA (643 nucleotides) under Pan troglodytes (chimpanzee). RNAcentral's name for it is "retained intron". The record is from RNAcentral. Lineage: Eukaryota; Metazoa; Chordata; Mammalia; Primates; Hominidae.